Molecule: microRNA, 22 nt
Filed under: Oryctolagus cuniculus (rabbit)
Lineage: Eukaryota; Metazoa; Chordata; Mammalia; Lagomorpha; Leporidae
Description: ocu-miR-376c-5p
Gene: ocu-miR-376c-5p
Source: miRBase by way of RNAcentral
GUGGAUUUUCCUUCUAUGUUUA